UAUCCAUGGUGAGGGCAUGCAUUUAAAAGAUCUUUGAAUCGUUACCAACAAUGAUAAAAAUUUUCCAAAUCAUUUUGGCAAAAAUUCAUGAUUUUUUUUUUCAAGGCA
Carya illinoinensis is the source of this 108-nucleotide small nucleolar RNA. The record is from RefSeq and is a predicted model, not a curated record. Lineage: Eukaryota; Viridiplantae; Streptophyta; Magnoliopsida; Fagales; Juglandaceae.